AUGGCGGUGGAGUGCACCUUCAGAAAGCAGUGUAGGAUAGGUGCGAGGUGGUGACACGCAACGACCAAUCCUAAAAGACCACUCUUUCAUCUAAGGAUGCCUAAUCGCCGCACCGAUCAUUCACACGUGGGCCAGGGGUGGGGGGAUACUGCAUGAUGGGUAGUUUAUAUGGGACGAUGCCUCCUAAAGAGAACAGAGGAGUGCGAAGAUAGGCUCAAUCGUUGAUUCUGCUCGUGAGCGUAAUGGUAUAAGUCUGCCGACUGUGAGACCGACUGGUCGAACAUAGACGAGAGUCGACCAUAGUGACCUGGGAGUCACGUGUGGAAGGGCUCUCGCUCAACACAU
This 345-nucleotide non-coding RNA is filed under the name Triticum aestivum (bread wheat). Its description in RNAcentral is "Bacterial large subunit ribosomal RNA". It matches the Rfam family "Bacterial large subunit ribosomal RNA", at positions 2106 to 2457 of the family's 2925-position model. Lineage: Eukaryota; Viridiplantae; Streptophyta; Magnoliopsida; Poales; Poaceae. The record is from Rfam by way of RNAcentral. RNAcentral also lists the same sequence under 1 other name.